CCCUGCAGGGUUAAAAUCUUUCAGAAAACCAUGCCCGCGGUUAUGUGGCAACUUGAAAACAUUGUUUAACAUACGGUUCUAGAUACUUUGAAGUAAACUUAACUAAAACAUGCCAACUGUGUGCGUAACCAUGAUUGUCUCUUUCACGAGCUCCUUCUUCGAUUGAGGACACGAUGGGUUUAUGACUCACGUAACUAGGUGUUCAGGAUCACUUAGUGAUCAUUAUGUAGUUCUGACUGUCAUGCAUAGACCACUCACUCUACUUCCUGUUCUCGUAAGUUAGCCACCAUAUAUGCUUAGUGCUGCUGCAGCCUAAACACUAAACCUUCCACACCCGAUAACUUGAUUAGUUCCGGUAUCAUGGUCGCAAGAUUGGUGAGUCCCUAUGGCUCAAAAAUUACUACAACACCACAGGUCCAGGUACCGCAGAUCUGGAGGCGUUUGAUGGUACACAACUUCAAUGGGAGUUCGAUGAAGGCAGUGGUUGCAUGUACGUGACGUACCCCGACGAUUAGAGGACCAUGGUCGUCUCCUGGGCUAGCGAGACAGAUC
Molecule: long non-coding RNA, 552 nt
Filed under: Hordeum vulgare
Lineage: Eukaryota; Viridiplantae; Streptophyta; Magnoliopsida; Poales; Poaceae
Description: long non-coding RNA (HVUL_LNC007135)
Source: RNAcentral